CAGCAGCCGCGGGAAGACAGGGGAUGCAAGCGUUAUCCGGAAUGAUUGGGCGUAAAGCGUCUGUAGGUGGCUUUUCAAGUCCACCGUCAAAUCCCAGGGCUCAACCCUGGACAGGCGGUGGAAACUACCAAGCUGGAGUACGGUAGGGGCAGAGGGAAUUUCCGGUGGAGUAGUGAAAUGCAUUGAGAUCAGAAAGAACACCAACGGCGAAAGCACUCUGCUGGGCCGACACUGACACUGAGAGACGAAAGCUAGGGGAGCAAAUGGAAUUAGAUACCCCAGUAGUCCCUGUCUCUUAUAC
RNAcentral lists this ribosomal RNA (301 nucleotides) under uncultured bacterium. RNAcentral's name for it is "partial 16S ribosomal RNA". It matches the Rfam family "Bacterial small subunit ribosomal RNA", at positions 509 to 807 of the family's 1533-position model. The record is from RNAcentral.